RNAcentral lists this ribosomal RNA (253 nucleotides) under uncultured bacterium. RNAcentral's name for it is "partial 16S ribosomal RNA". It matches the Rfam family "Bacterial small subunit ribosomal RNA", at positions 524 to 776 of the family's 1533-position model. The record is from RNAcentral.
UACGAAGGGGGCUAGCGUUGCUCGGAAUUACUGGGCGUAAAGCGCACGUAGGCGGUCUUUUAAGUCGUGGGUGAAAUCCUGGAGCUCAACUCCAGAACUGCCUUCGAUACUGGAAGACUUGAGUCCGGGAGAGGUGAGUGGAACUGCGAGUGUAGAGGUGAAAUUCGUAGAUAUUCGCAAGAACACCAGUGGCGAAGGCGGCUCACUGGCCCGGUACUGACGCUGAGGUGCGAAAGCGUGAGGAGCAAACAGG